This is a long non-coding RNA of Mytilus californianus (California mussel), 198 nucleotides long. RefSeq lists it as uncharacterized. Lineage: Eukaryota; Metazoa; Mollusca; Bivalvia; Mytilida; Mytilidae. The transcript has 5 exons. The record is from RefSeq and is a predicted model, not a curated record.
AAUCCGACCCGUGUCUGCAUUCUGGGUGGUGCGUGAGUACAACAAACGGUUAUACAUGUCAAUGUUCAUCAAGAUAUACAGGGAAAAACUGUCAAACAUUUGUUACAACUUCGACGACCCAGUCUACUACAACAGCAACACCAACUUCUUGGAAAAAAAUUACUCAACCAACAUCAUGGUUAAAGGUGUCUCAACGUA